This 1280-nucleotide long non-coding RNA is filed under the name Sus scrofa (pig). RNAcentral's name for it is "lncRNA (ENSSSCG00055018406.1)". The record is from RNAcentral. Lineage: Eukaryota; Metazoa; Chordata; Mammalia; Artiodactyla; Suidae.
UUUUUUUAAUUUUCAUUCCUCCAUAGUAUUCAAAUAGAUAUACCACAAUCAUUGGUUUGUUUUAUUGUUCCUGGUCACUGGGUGUUUUUCUAGCGUGAGUCAAAUAAAGCUGCUCUGAGCAUUAAUAACCAUGAAUUUGGAAACAUAUGCCUCCAUUUUUGUUGGAUACAUUCCUAUGAGUGGAGUUGCUCAGUAAUUAAGUUUAUUUGCAUACUAGGACUCACAAAAAGGAGGCUGCUCCAGCAGCCCAGCCCACAUCACAGAUUUAAACCUAAGUUGGCCACACUUAUUGUAAACACCUGUCAGAGAAACCCGACCUACACCAAACACAAUCCUCCAACUCAGCUCUAGCUUAUUUUACUAUGGAAAAUAGGACCUACGGGCAUCAUAUGGAAAUCACUCGCCUUCUUGCCCAUCAUGCCCUGCUUUGCAUUGCCUGCCUCUACUAAUGCUCUAUAAAAUUCACUCUUGCUCCAGAUCCCUUGGGAAGAAGGCUACUCUGCUUGUGAUCCCACUCCAUGAGUCAUUUUCCCUUGAAUGAAGGACAUCAAACUCAUAACUAAGUUUUUCACAAGACUUGACCCAAAGAAAGCUGCUAAAGUGUUUGAAGCUUCCGGGAACAGCCUCUAGACCCAGGGGAAGGUACCCCAGACUCCUUUUGGUUCACCACCUCUUGAGCCACUCUCCAGGGAUCUUGGUUUGAAGACAGAAAGUGAGCUGUCACACUCCACAGUACCAGCACCCUUCAUAUAUAUUGGAAACCGUCUUGAGUGAUUAAUUUCAAGCACCUUGGAUCAGCGAGAUGCCACAAGGCAAUAUGAAUUAGCAACUGUGGCCUUAUUUAACACCACCUUCAACCAAGGACUUAACUGCCUCUUAAACAAGACCCCUGCCAAAUCUUCAUGUGGAUUCUACACAAAAGGAAGAAUCAGAUUCAAAAUAAGACAUUAACUGCGAAAUCCAAAAUGGCUGCGCUUACCCUAUUGAUAAAAACAGGUGAGUCUCCAAAAGAUAUAAUCAAUCUUCACAUUUAUUUUAAGUAGUAAAUAAUAUAAAUAAGUAUUGUUAUUCUGAGUGGCAAUUUAAUGCAUGUAUUCGAUUAACAAUUAUAACUUCUGUACAUCCUAAAUGCUUAUGUAGCUUUGUACUUUUUUCUUUUUUUUUUUUUUUUUUUUUUUUGCGUGGGGUUAGUUCUCCAUUACAUAAAAAGAGAAUGAAUCAACAUUUUAUUGUGGAACCUGGGAAUCAAAUUUUAAGACUAGAAGGAGGAGAACUUCCUA